RNAcentral lists this ribosomal RNA (709 nucleotides) under uncultured bacterium. RNAcentral describes it as "bacterial SSU rRNA". It matches the Rfam family "Bacterial small subunit ribosomal RNA", at positions 60 to 754 of the family's 1533-position model. The record is from RNAcentral.
AGUCGAGCGGACUUAAAAAGCUUGCUUUUAAAGUUAGCGGCGGACGGGUGAGUAACACGUGGGCAACCUGCCUGUAAGACUGGGAUAACUUCGGGAAACCGGAGCUAAUACCGGAUAAUCCUUUUCUACACAUGUAGAAAAGCUGAAAGACGGUUUACGCUGUCACUUACAAAUGGGCCCGCGGCGCAUUAGCUAGUUGGUGAGGUAACGGCUCACCAAGGCAACGAUGCGUAGCCGACCUGAGAGGGUGAUCGGCCACACUGGGACUGAGACACGGCCCAGACUCNUACGGGAGGCAGCAGUAGGGAAUCUUCCGCAAUGGACGAAAGUCUGACGGAGCAACGCCGCGUGAGUGAUGAAGGUUUUCGGAUCGUAAAACUCUGUUGUUAGGGAAGAACAAGUACAAGAGUAACUGCUUGUACCUUGACGGUACCUAACCAGAAAGCCACGGCUGACUACGUGCCAGCAGCCGCGGUAAUACGUAGGUGGCAAGCGUUGUCCGGAAUUAUUGGGCGUAAAGCGCGCGCAGGCGGUCCUUUAAGUCUGAUGUGAAAGCCCACGGCUCAACCGUGGAGGGUCAUUGGAAACUGGGGGACUUGAGUGCAGAAGAGAAGAGUGGAAUUCCACGUGUAGCGGUGAAAUGCGUAGAGAUGUGGAGGAACACCAGUGGCGAAGGCGACUCUUUGGUCUGUAACUGACGCUGAGGCGC